AGUGAACGCUGGCGGUAGGCCUAACACAUGCAAGUCGAACGGCAGCACAGUAAGAGCUUGCUCUUACGGGUGGCGAGUGGCGGACGGGUGAGGAAUACAUCGGAAUCUACUUUUUCGUGGGGGAUAACGUAGGGACACUUACGCUAAUACCGCAUACGACCUACGGGUGAAAGCAGGGGAUCUUCGGACCUUGCGCGAUUGAAUGAGCCGAUGUCGGAUUAGCUAGUUGGCGGGGUAAAGGCCCACCAAGGCGACGAUCCGUAGCUGGUCUGAGAGGAUGAUCAGCCACACUGGAACUGAGACACGGUCCAGACUCCUACGGGAGGCAGCAGUGGGGAAUAUUGGACAAUGGGCGCAAGCCUGAUCCAGCCAGACCGCGUGGGUGAAGAAGGCCUUCGGGUUGUAAAGCCCUUUUGUUGGGAAAGAAAAGCAGCAGGUUAAUACCCCGCUGUUCUGACGGUACCCAAAGAAUAAGCACCGGCUAACUUCGUG
RNAcentral lists this ribosomal RNA (492 nucleotides) under uncultured bacterium. Its description in RNAcentral is "partial 16S ribosomal RNA". It matches the Rfam family "Bacterial small subunit ribosomal RNA", at positions 29 to 507 of the family's 1533-position model. The record is from RNAcentral.